GACGAACGCUGGCGGCGUGCUUAACACAUGCAAGUCGAACGAAGAGCGAUGGAGGCUUGCUUCUAUCAAUCUUAGUGGCGAACGGGUGAGUAACGCGUAAUCAACCUGCCCUUCAGAGGGGGACAACAGUUGGAAACGACUGCUAAUACCGCAUACGAUCUGACCUCGGCAUCGAGGAUAGAUGAAAGGUGGCCUCUACAUGUAAGCUAUCACUGAAGGAGGGGAUUGCGUCUGAUUAGCUAGUUGGAGGGGUAACGGCCCACCAAGGCGAUGAUCAGUAGCCGGUCUGAGAGGAUGAACGGCCACAUUGGGACUGAGACACGGCCCAGACUCCUACGGGAGGCAGCAGUGGGGAAUCUUCCGCAAUGGACGAAAGUCUGACGGAGCAACGCCGCGUGAGUGAUGACGGCCUUCGGGUUGUAAAGCUCUGUUAAUCGGGACGAAAGGCCUUUUUGCGAAUAGUGAGAAGGAUUGACGGUACCGGAAUAGAAAGCCACGGCUAACUACGU
This 509-nucleotide ribosomal RNA is filed under the name uncultured bacterium. RNAcentral's name for it is "partial 16S ribosomal RNA". It matches the Rfam family "Bacterial small subunit ribosomal RNA", at positions 28 to 506 of the family's 1533-position model. The record is from RNAcentral.